GACGAACGCUGGCGGCGUGCCUAAUACAUGCAAGUUGAGCGCUGAAGGUUGGUACUUGUACCGACUGGAUGAGCAGCGCACGGGUGAGUAACGCGUGGGGAAUCUGCCUUUGAGCGGGGGACAACAUUUGGAAACGAAUGCUAAUACCGCAUAAAAACUUUAAACACAAGUUUUAAGUUUGAAAGAUGCAAUUGCAUCACUCAAAGAUGAUCCCGCGUUGUAUUAGCUAGUUGGUGAGGUAAAGGCUCACCAAGGCGAUGAUACAUAGCCGACCUGAGAGGGUGAUCGGCCACAUUGGGACUGAGACACGGCCCAAACUCCUACGGGAGGCAGCAGUAGGGAAUCUUCGGCAAUGGACGAAAGUCUGACCGAGCAACGCCGCGUGAGUGAAGAAGGUUGUCGGAUCGUAAAACUCUGUUGGUAGAGAAGAACGUUGGUGAGAGUGGAAAGCUCAUCAAGUGACGGUAACUACCCAGAAAGGGACGGCUAACUACGUG
This 497-nucleotide ribosomal RNA is filed under the name uncultured bacterium. RNAcentral describes it as "partial 16S ribosomal RNA". It matches the Rfam family "Bacterial small subunit ribosomal RNA", at positions 28 to 507 of the family's 1533-position model. The record is from RNAcentral.